RNAcentral lists this ribosomal RNA (922 nucleotides) under uncultured bacterium. RNAcentral describes it as "bacterial SSU rRNA". It matches the Rfam family "Bacterial small subunit ribosomal RNA", at positions 9 to 916 of the family's 1533-position model. The record is from RNAcentral.
GAGUUUGAUCAUGGCUCAGGAUGAACGCUAGCGACAGGCUUAACACAUGCAAGUCGAGGGGCAGCGGUGGUGAAGGCUUGCCUUUACCAGCCGGCGACCGGCGCACGGGUGAGUAACACGUAUGCAACCUGCCUGCCACAGCCGGAUAAUCGGGAGAAAUUCCGUCUAAUACGGCAUAAUGCAUCGACGGGACAUCCUGUUGGUGCCAAAGGUUAAUUCCGGUGGCGGAUGGGCAUGCGUCGCAUUAGUUAGUUGGCGGUGUAACGGACCACCAAGACGACGAUGCGUAGGGGUUCUGAGAGGAAGGUCCCCCACGCUGGUACUGAGACACGGACCAGACUCCUACGGGAGGCAGCAGUGAGGAAUAUUGGUCAAUGGGCGGGAGCCUGAACCAGCCAAGUCGCGUGAGGGAUGACGGCCCUAUGGGUUGUAAACCUCUUUUGCCGGGGAGCAAAGUGCCGCACGUGUGCGGUUUGGAGAGUACCCGGAGAAAAAGCAUCGGCUAACUCCGUGCCAGCAGCCGCGGUAAUACGGAGGAUGCGAGCGUUAUCCGGAUUUAUUGGGUUUAAAGGGUGCGUAGGCGGACGCUUAAGUCAGCGGUAAAAUUGCGGGGCUCAACCUCGUCGAGCCGUUGAAACUGGGUGCCUUGAGUGGGCGAGAAGUACGCGGAAUGCGUGGUGUAGCGGUGAAAUGCAUAGAUAUCACGCAGAACUCCGAUUGCGAAGGCAGCGUACCGGCGCCCAACUGACGCUGAAGCACGAAGGCGUGGGUAUCGAACAGGAUUAGAUACCCUGGUAGUCCACGCAGUAAACGAUGAAUGCUAGUUGUCCGGGGCGAUUGAGUUCUGGGUGACACAGCGAAAGCGUUAAGCAUUCCACCUGGGGAGUACGCCGGCAACGGUGAAACUCAAAGGAAUUGACGG